GGGGAACUUGGUUAGACCUGGCUCAGACCUCAGCUCCACAAGCUGAUGGACGGAGUCAGGGGACCAAAGCUCUCC
Molecule: microRNA precursor, 75 nt
Filed under: Camelus bactrianus (Bactrian camel)
Lineage: Eukaryota; Metazoa; Chordata; Mammalia; Artiodactyla; Camelidae
Also listed under: 3 other names
Description: mir-631 microRNA precursor family
Rfam family: mir-631 microRNA precursor family
Source: Rfam by way of RNAcentral